AUACACUUGUUAAUUAUGUUUUCAUUUGGAAUUCUUUCAGUUGUUGAACCUGUUAGAGAAAAAUUCAACAAAAAUAUUCGUUUGUGGAGUGAAUAUGAAUCUGUUCUUCACAAUUUACAGCAAGUUUUAGAGAUAGAAUUUCCCUCUCCAUCAUCAUCUGUUAAAGAAGAGUUUUGCUUAGAAUGUGGGAUAUGUUACUCAUAUCAGCUGGGUGAUGCCAUCCCAGAUAUGACGUGUGAUGAUCCAAAUUGCAAUCAGCCAUUUCAUCAUGCUUGUUUGUAUGAAUACAUUAGAAUGCUUCCUGAUGUAAGGAGUAGUUUCAAUAAAUUAUUUGGAGAAUGUCCUUACUGCAGUACACCACUGUGGUGCACUAUACCAUGAUAAUUUCUUCCUUUAAAAUGAGGAUGAAUGUAUUUUUCUAGAUCUGUUUCAGUGCCUAUGUAAUGUGCAUCCACAAAGUAAUUUGUGUUUGCUGAUAAAUAUGGAAAAGGUUUUAGGGUGCAAAGUUACUGUAUAAAAAAAAAAAAAAAAAAAAAGAAGAAGUUCCCAAAAUAAAAAAGUUGCAAAAAUGA
This 572-nucleotide unclassified non-coding RNA is filed under the name Stegodyphus dumicola. RNAcentral's name for it is "e3 ubiquitin-protein ligase FANCL-like, transcript variant X3". The record is from RNAcentral. Lineage: Eukaryota; Metazoa; Arthropoda; Arachnida; Araneae; Eresidae.